RNAcentral lists this transfer RNA (54 nucleotides) under Stenodus leucichthys (inconnu). Its description in RNAcentral is "tRNA-Ile". RNAcentral also lists the same sequence under 1 other name. Lineage: Eukaryota; Metazoa; Chordata; Actinopteri; Salmoniformes; Salmonidae. The record is from RNAcentral.
GGAAUUGUGCCUGAAUGUUUAAGGACCACCUUGAUAGCGUGGCUGAUGGGGGUU